AUUGAACGCUGGCGGCAUGCCUUACACAUGCAAGUCGAACGGUAACAGGUUAAGCUGACGAGUGGCGAACGGGUGAGUAAUAUAUCGGAACGUGCCCAGUCGUGGGGGAUAACGUAGCGAAAGCUACGCUAAUACCGCAUACGAUCUACGGAUGAAAGCGGGGGAUCGCAAGACCUCGCGCGAUUGGAGCGGCCGAUAUCAGAUUAGGUUGUAGGUGAGGUAAAAGCUCACCAAGCCUGCGAUCUGUAGCUGGUCUGAGAGGACGACCAGCCACACUGGAACUGAGACACGGUCCAGACUCCUAUGGGAGGCAGCAGUGGGGAAUUUUGGACAAUGGACGCAAGUCUGAUCCAGCAAUGCCGCGUGCAGGACGAAGGCCUUCGGGUUGUAAACUGCUUUUGUACGGAACGAAACGGUGAGCUCUAAUACAGUUUGCUAAUGACGGUACCGUAAGAAUAAGCACCGGCUAACUACGUGCCAGCCGCCGCAGUAA
RNAcentral lists this ribosomal RNA (493 nucleotides) under uncultured bacterium. RNAcentral's name for it is "partial 16S ribosomal RNA". It matches the Rfam family "Bacterial small subunit ribosomal RNA", at positions 30 to 523 of the family's 1533-position model. The record is from RNAcentral.